This 554-nucleotide ribosomal RNA is filed under the name Salmonella enterica. Its description in RNAcentral is "partial 23S ribosomal RNA". It matches the Rfam family "Bacterial large subunit ribosomal RNA", at positions 2380 to 2925 of the family's 2925-position model. Lineage: Bacteria; Pseudomonadati; Pseudomonadota; Gammaproteobacteria; Enterobacterales; Enterobacteriaceae. The record is from RNAcentral. RNAcentral also lists the same sequence under 2 other names.
CGUGACGGCGCGAGCAGGUGCGAAAGCAGGUCAUAGUGAUCCGGUGGUUCUGAAUGGAAGGGCCAUCGCUCAACGGAUAAAAGGUACUCCGGGGAUAACAGGCUGAUACCGCCCAAGAGUUCAUAUCGACGGCGGUGUUUGGCACCUCGAUGUCGGCUCAUCACAUCCUGGGGCUGAAGUAGGUCCCAAGGGUAUGGCUGUUCGCCAUUUAAAGUGGUACGCGAGCUGGGUUUAGAACGUCGUGAGACAGUUCGGUCCCUAUCUGCCGUGGGCGCUGGAGAACUGAGGGGGGCUGCUCCUAGUACGAGAGGACCGGAGUGGACGCAUCACUGGUGUUCGGGUUGUCAUGCCAAUGGCACUGCCCGGUAGCUAAAUGCGGAAGAGAUAAGUGCUGAAAGCAUCUAAGCACGAAACUUGCCCCGAGAUGAGUUCUCCCUGAGACUUAGAGUCUCCUGAAGGAACGUUGAAGACGACGACGUUGAUAGGCCGGGUGUGUAAGCGCAGCGAUGCGUUGAGCUAACCGGUACUAAUGAACCGUGAGGCUUAACCUUACA